UUCAACAAAUCAGUUCAUAUCAUACCUUCAGGCUGCUAUACUGGUUGAAGUAUUUGCUUUUAUAUCUAUGUAAAAUAUGUAAUUCCUUCUCACACACAUUUACAGCAUUUUGGGGAAGUUUUCUGCUCAAAUGUCAUAUUACAAUAUAGCCAAAUAACUGUUUCUGCACUUACUUGAUUAAAGCAAAGCACGAGAAAAAUAGAAUAGGUAUCAAAAGAUUGCCUAAAAACUGUGGUGACAAAUGCAAUUAUUGUUAAAAUGUACAAAUCCUGUGGGGUUCGUCAAAAUAGUUUGAAACAUUAAUAACUGUCUGCAAGAAAGAAGAAUAACGUUCUUCUUUUACCUUGACCUCGUGCUAUUUUGGCAAGAUAAAAUAUAUUAACCAUCCCAUCAGCUGGCUAGUGAGCAAAACUAACUAUGAUGAGGAAAAACGAAUUAAAGGAGCAUUAAUAAAGAUUAUCAGUGAAAGAAAAUAAGGUCAAAAUUAGAACUCUGCAUUUUAAAGCCACCUUUCAAAAAUGCAAGCUGCUUUGCCCAACGAUAAAAUCCAUUCAUUUUCCUAAUCAUGCAAUCAACCAAUCUCCAUUAUCUUCAGCUAGCUAGCUAUAAACAUGCUAUAGACUGGAGUGAAAGAGGGAGAGUGUGAGGUUGAGAGACAGAGAGAGAGAGAGAGAGAGAGAGAGAAAGAAAGAAAGAGAGAUUACUACACCCAGCCUUUUAUAAAGCCGUUUCUUUCAUUAUAACAGGUCUUUUCAUCAAAAUGACACAGAACCUUUAAAUUUGGGCAUAAUACUCCAGUACAGUACGCAGCUCUAGCUAAAAACUGAUUUAGAACCUGCUCCAGAAAGCAAACAAACUCACUCGUUUGACACACAAAUUGUUUACGAUUCAUUAAAAAGCAAAAUUGCAUAUCACAGUGCUGGCAGCUGAGUCCAUAUGGGUGCAAGGGGUAUUCACUCAUCUCUUUGUAUGCUGGCAGUACCAAACCGAAGUUUAGCACUAUGCAGCUGAGAUUUUGUGCAGCCAGACGAUGCAUGAGCUCCAUCAAAGGUAACAUCACCCCCUGGGGCAGGUGUGCAGGAUGUACCCAGAAAAUAUUCUUAUCAGAUGCUGUGUCCUCGGGAAGGGGGACUGAGGACUAAUAAAUCAGGUGUUUCCUCCUUCAGUGUAAGUCACCUGCUGUGAUCAAUAAGAAGCAGAAGAAAGAAGUGUUCUUGUUUGCAUGAGGUAAUACAGACAAACAGCCACGUGUAUGAGUUUUCUCCUUUGUCCUUCUCUCUCAGCAAAGAAUGACGGGGGAUGAAAAACAAAGAAAAACACCAGCACCACCACCCUCAAAAUCCUCAAAACUUCUGCCCCUCUCCCAGAAACAGGAACACGAGGAAAAAGAUCUCCCCUCCCAGCCCCCAGCCAACACAAGCGCUCCAAGAGUUAACUGGAUGGCAUCACAGCCAGCAACUACUCCCCAGCAGUACCCGGCGACACUCCUGUGACAGUAAGCAUUUGGGUCACCAGAUGCCACCGUGGCAGUGAGAAAAGCUUUGCCUGCAUCUUCCCCAGCCUUCCCCGUAAACUCCUCCAGAUUUCCCUCUCCUGCCCUUUUCCUGUCCCAACCCAACCUCUGAUCUGCAUGACGCCAACCACCAGAGGGUCACAGCCCGGUAUGCACAGCCCAGCUACCAACUCCAGCACAGGGAAAU
This is a long non-coding RNA of Anas platyrhynchos (mallard), 1700 nucleotides long. RefSeq lists it as uncharacterized. Lineage: Eukaryota; Metazoa; Chordata; Aves; Anseriformes; Anatidae. The record is from RefSeq and is a predicted model, not a curated record.